UGGGGAAUAUUGCGCAAUGGGCGAAAGCCUGACGCAGCGACGCCGCGUGAGGGAUGAAGGUUUUCGGAUCGCAAACCUCUGUCAGAAGGGAAGAAACCGCACUGUGCUAAUCAGCAGUUCCUUGACGGUACCUUCAAAGGAAGCACCGGCUAACUCCGUUCCAGCAGCCGCGGUAAUACGGAGGGUGCAAGCGUUAAUCGGAAUUACUGGGCGUAAAGCGCACGUAGGCUGCUUUGUAAGUCAGGGGUGAAAUCCCACGGCUCAACCGUGGAACUGCCUUUGAUACUGCUUAGCUUGAAUCCGGGAGAGGGUGGCGGAAUUCCAGGUGUAGGAGUGAAAUCCGUAGAUAUCUGGAGGAACAUCAGUGGCGAAGGCGGCCACCUGGACCGGUAUUGACGCUGAGGUGCGAAAGCGUGGGGAGCAAACAGG
Molecule: ribosomal RNA, 429 nt
Filed under: Fusobacteriota bacterium
Lineage: Bacteria; Fusobacteriati; Fusobacteriota
Description: Fusobacteria bacterium partial 16S ribosomal RNA
Rfam family: Bacterial small subunit ribosomal RNA
Source: RNAcentral